GAUGAACGCUGGCGGCGCGCAUAACACAUGCAAGUCGAACGGAGUUUAGAUGAAACCUAGUGAUUUUAAACUUAGUGGCGGACGGGUGAGUAACGCGUGGGUAACCUACCUGGUAUUGGGGGACAACAGUUAGAAAUGACUGCUAAUACCGCAUACGACAUCGGAGAGGCAUCUCUCUGAUGUGAAAGGAGCAAUCCGAUAGCAGAUGGACCCGCGUCUGAUUAGCUAGUUGGUGAGGUAACGGCCCACCAAGGCGACGAUCAGUAGCCGAACUGAGAGGUUGACCGGCCACAUUGGGACUGAGACACGGCCCAAACUCC
This 320-nucleotide ribosomal RNA is filed under the name uncultured Lachnospiraceae bacterium. RNAcentral's name for it is "bacterial SSU rRNA". It matches the Rfam family "Bacterial small subunit ribosomal RNA", at positions 28 to 339 of the family's 1533-position model. The record is from RNAcentral. Lineage: Bacteria; Bacillati; Bacillota; Clostridia; Lachnospirales; Lachnospiraceae.